CAUAUUGACGAAUGUCGACACUUGACACUCGUGCUCUCGAUUGCAUGGCUGCAAUUACAACAAAGAUCAGCACGACUUCACAAGCAAAAGAAGAAUAAAGUAAGAAAUGUCAACUAUACUAUAUCUAGAUGGAUGACCGAACUAAGACCGGCAUCGCAAAGAGGCUGUUCGAUCACAAGCUCCUUCUGCGGUGGGAUCGCCAUGUCCUUCAACCGAUCGAAGUCCUCUCGAUCCCCGACCUCUACUUGGCUGUUGUCAUUGGGACCGGUUCAUGGAUCAUCCCAACGGGAAGAAAAACCUCAAGGAAGAGAG
RNAcentral lists this long non-coding RNA (312 nucleotides) under Elaeis guineensis (African oil palm). RNAcentral's name for it is "long non-coding RNA (EGUI_LNC000067)". The record is from RNAcentral. Lineage: Eukaryota; Viridiplantae; Streptophyta; Magnoliopsida; Arecales; Arecaceae.